UCUGUGACCACAGUAGUGUGAUUGAUGAAAAAAAUUUUCAUAGAAGUCACAACUGGACUGGAGCUAAUCGAAUCUAUCAUAUGACUGAUGAUGAGGUUUGAUGAUUUAUCCAUGACCUGCCAUCUAGUCGAAACUCAUGAUAGAGAGAUUGAAUCGUACAUUAACUACACCUAGAGGUUCAUUUCAGUUUUACUAGAGUACCACUACAUACUGCUAGGUGUCACU
RNAcentral lists this long non-coding RNA (225 nucleotides) under Elaeis guineensis (African oil palm). RNAcentral describes it as "long non-coding RNA (EGUI_LNC049490)". Lineage: Eukaryota; Viridiplantae; Streptophyta; Magnoliopsida; Arecales; Arecaceae. The record is from RNAcentral.